This 75-nucleotide transfer RNA is filed under the name Tissierellales bacterium. Its description in RNAcentral is "tRNA-Thr". It matches the Rfam family "tRNA". From Rfam's summary of the family: Transfer RNA (tRNA) molecules are approximately 80 nucleotides in length. Their secondary structure includes four short double-helical elements and three loops (D, anti-codon, and T loops). RNAcentral also lists the same sequence under 1 other name. The record is from RNAcentral. Lineage: Bacteria; Bacillati; Bacillota; Tissierellia; Tissierellales.
GCUGAUGUGGCUCAGUGGUAGAGCAGUGCACUCGUAAUGCACAGGUCGUCGGUUCAAAUCCGACCAUCAGCUCCA